This is a non-coding RNA of Drosophila melanogaster (fruit fly), 670 nucleotides long. NCBI's taxonomy places the organism in Eukaryota, Metazoa, Arthropoda, Insecta, Diptera, Drosophilidae. The record is from Ensembl.
AAGAAAGAUCGCGUUAGUCCCUAAAUCAAAAUACAGAAAAUAGUGCUGGAAAACGCGGCACGUGCUCGGGGCAGGCUAUAAGAAGAAGAAAAGUCAAAGUGAAAGGAAGGGUGCAAAUUAAAAAGCAAAUUUCUGUGGUUUAAAAUUGAAGAAAUGGUAUAAAAUGAUUUAAAACAAUGUCGGGAGUUCUGGUUUGUGUUGUGCCUCAACUUGUAUGCGCCAAAAAAGAAAUAUGAUCAGGCGGCGAAUCGAACAACUUUCCUCGCCGGCAAAUGGAGUCCCUGUGAAAGUUUUACUUACAUACAUACAAAUGUAUGUAAAAGAAAGGUGUUUCUGUCUAUUAAAACAGGAGAAGCUUAUGUAAAUUUAUGUUAAAAGUGUUAACUAAAGUGUAAGGUCAAGAAAUCGGCGGCUAAAUGCGUAAAAUAUAUGAUUAAAAGGAAAAAAAGCAACCCGCUUGUUUGUAUGCAUGCAUGUGUGUGUGACGUGCCAAUUUGCAUGGCGUUUCGUGCAUACAAACAUACAUAAAUAUUGAUUGUUGUGAGUGAUUUAAAAGUGAUUUUAAAAAGGUAUGUUUAUAAAAAAUAUUCUCCGCGUAGUGCAGUUAACCGUAAUACUACUGAGAGAAAAUGUAAAGAAGAAAACAAAAGAAGAACCGCAAAAAUAAAAU